Molecule: long non-coding RNA, 647 nt
Filed under: Mytilus galloprovincialis (Mediterranean mussel)
Lineage: Eukaryota; Metazoa; Mollusca; Bivalvia; Mytilida; Mytilidae
Source: RNAcentral
AAUUAUACAAGGCUAACAAAUGCCAGAGGCUCCUGACUUGGACCAGUUAAAAAAUAAUGCAGCAGGGUUAAACAUGUAUUGUGACAUUUCAGACACCUCUAAUCAAUGUAGAAUAAAUAUAAAAACAUACACAGCUAAACGUACAGUAAAACUUAGUUUAAAAAGUCUGAUUCCCAUGUCAGAUUAAGUAACUGAAUGAAAAUAUACAUGAAAGAAAAGGCCAUGAUCAGGAAAAAACUGAUACAGGAGACAAACAGUGCUGUUCUAUUGCUGUUCUUCAUCUUAACAUUAGCUGAAACCACAAGGAUCAUUGUGAAUCAUAGAUUAAAGGAAACCUGCUUUGUAUUAGUUCCAAAUGUUUAUGCUUGCCUACUGUAGCUAGGUGUAGUUUUCAGCCUGUUGAGACUUUUCCCUACUAAUAGUUUUAAAAAGCAAAUGUUAAGAAAACCUGUGUGACUGACAUGUACAGCAUAAAUAUUUCCAUACACCAAAUAUAGUUGACCUAUUGCAUAUAGUAUAAAAAAUAAAAAAGACCAAACUAAAAUUCUUAAUAUUGACCACUUAACUAUGAAAAUGAGCCAGUUGGACAUAUACACCUUACAAUAAUUCCAAACACCAAAAAUAGUAGACAUAUUGUUUAGAGUAUC